RNAcentral lists this ribosomal RNA (253 nucleotides) under uncultured bacterium. Its description in RNAcentral is "partial 16S ribosomal RNA". It matches the Rfam family "Bacterial small subunit ribosomal RNA", at positions 524 to 776 of the family's 1533-position model. The record is from RNAcentral.
UACAGAGGAUGCAAGCGUUAUCCGGAAUGAUUGGGCGUAAAGCGUCUGUAGGUGGCUUUUUAAGUCCGCCGUCAAAUCCCAGGGCUCAACUCUGGACAGGCGGUGGAAACUACCAAGCUGGAGUACGGUAGGGGCAGAGGGAAUUCCCGGUGUAGCGGUGAAAUGCGCAGAUAUCGGGAAGAACACCCGUGGCGAAGGCGGUUCUCUGGGACGGUACUGACGCUGAGACGCGAAAGCGUGGGGAGCGAACAGG